This 566-nucleotide long non-coding RNA is filed under the name Nicotiana benthamiana. Its description in RNAcentral is "long non-coding RNA (NBEN_LNC007014)". Lineage: Eukaryota; Viridiplantae; Streptophyta; Magnoliopsida; Solanales; Solanaceae. The record is from RNAcentral.
AAGUACUCGUUUUGAAUGUUGAUUACUUAGCUACGUUCUACUGAAUUUGGUGUUGCUCCAUCAUUCCUAGGGGUGGGAUUUUUUCAACAACAACUAAUUCUACUACUAUGCCUCAAUCGUAAGUUAGCUUUGAUCUGCUAUAUGAAUUCUCAACAUCCAUUUUACUCCAGUUGGACUUGUUACAUUCCGAUAAUCCACGAUUUAGAAUUCGCUGAUACUAGAGCCUAGAGGUCCUUUGUAUUUUCUAUUGACAUUAUAGAUCUUAAAAUAGACUAAGAAGAUUCCCAGCAAACACUGUAUUUGAUGUAAAUAUACAUACAUGACUAAACAUUAUCCCGACUAGCUAGUAUUGUCUAGAUCGCCUAGUAUUUCCUUUUUCAUUGUGUUCUGUUUUUUGCCAAGUUUUUAUGGAAUUCCAAUUUGCGAGAGAUUGUAGGUCUUUUGAGACAGCUUCGUUGUAUUUUGUUUUAGCCUUUUAGGUAUACCCAUCCCCUUUUUAACACCUUCUAGUGUCAUUUGUUAUACCUUCUGACUCAUACAUUUGUAGGUCUUCACAAGGCAUGAGC